GUGCCAGCCGCCGCGGUAAGACGGAGGGUGCAAGCGUUGUUCGGAAUCAUUGGGCGUAAAGGGCGCGCAGGCGGCCUCCCAUGUCCGAUGUGAAAGCCCGGGGCUCAACCCCGGAAGCGCAUUGGAAACUGGGUGGCUUGAGUCCGAGAGGGGACCGUGGAAUUUCUGGUGUAGGGGUGAAAUCCGUAGAGAUCAGAAGGAACACCGGAGGUGAAAACGACGGUCUGGAUCGGGACUGACGCUGAGGCGCGAAAGCGCGGGUAGCGAACAGGAUUAGAUACCCUUGUAGUCC
This 292-nucleotide ribosomal RNA is filed under the name uncultured bacterium. RNAcentral's name for it is "partial 16S ribosomal RNA". It matches the Rfam family "Bacterial small subunit ribosomal RNA", at positions 505 to 796 of the family's 1533-position model. The record is from RNAcentral.